CUUUCUUUUUCAGAAUUUACAUAAAUUCCCAUCUUUCUUCUAUGGAUUAUAUAAUUCGAAGAAAGUUUUUAUCCAGAAGGAAAAAGAGAACUUAAAAGACGUUUUCAAGGAUAUUAAUUUCUUACGACAGUUUAAUCAUCGAAACAUCGUUAAUAUUAUUGGUUUUUCAGCACUACGGGAGCCUGUUUUACUUCUUAUAGAAUACCUUUCUGGUGGUUUGUUGUUGCAUUAUCUUAGGAUGAGAGGAGACUCUUUAAAUUCAAGGCAGAAAAUCAGAAUGUGUCAGGAUGUCGCAAAUGGAAUGGCCUACUUACAUCGCAAAAAAUGUAUUCACAGAGACCUAGGAGCAAGAAACUGUGUAGUCGGUGAAGAUUCCACAGUUAAGAUUUUCAAUUUCCGGAUGGCAGAAAUGGGGGAUGAGUAUAAAUUUAUCAGUGCAUAUUCUUAUGCUUCAAAAUGGACACCACCCGAGUCUAUUCU
Saccostrea cuccullata (small rock oyster) is the source of this 480-nucleotide long non-coding RNA. RefSeq lists it as uncharacterized. The record is from RefSeq and is a predicted model, not a curated record. The transcript has 3 exons. Lineage: Eukaryota; Metazoa; Mollusca; Bivalvia; Ostreida; Ostreidae.